Molecule: ribosomal RNA, 234 nt
Filed under: uncultured bacterium
Lineage: Bacteria
Description: partial 16S ribosomal RNA
Rfam family: Bacterial small subunit ribosomal RNA
Source: RNAcentral
UAGCGAAGGGGGCUAGCGUUGCUCGGAAUUACUGGGCGUAAAGCGCACGUAAGGCGGAUCUUUAAGUCAGGGGUGAAAUCCUGGAGCUCAACUCCAGGAAACUGCCUUUGAUUACUGGAGGACCUUGAGUUCGGGAGAGGUGAGUGGGAAACUGCGAGUGUAGAGGUGAAAUUCGUAGAUAUUCGCAAAGAACACCAGUGGCGGAAGGCGGACUCACUGGCCCCGAUACUGACG